Molecule: ribosomal RNA, 434 nt
Filed under: uncultured bacterium
Lineage: Bacteria
Description: partial 16S ribosomal RNA
Rfam family: Bacterial small subunit ribosomal RNA
Source: RNAcentral
AGCGAACGCUGGCGGCAGGCCUAACACAUGCAAGUCGAACGAACCUUUCGGGGUUAGUGGCGGACGGGGGAGUAACACGUGGGACCGUGCCUUUAGGUUCGGAAUACUUCAGUGAAACUUGUGCUAAUACCGAAUGUGUCCUUCUGGUGCAAGAUUUAUCGCCGUUAGAGCGGCCCGCGUCUGAUUAGCUAGUUGGUUUUGGUAAUGGCGCACUAAGGUAAGGUACGUUACCUGGUCUGGGAGGAACAGCAGCCACAUCGGGACGGAGACGCAGCCGAAACUCCUACGGGAGGCGGCAGAGGGGGAUCUUGCGAAAUGGGGGAAAGGCUGACGCAGCCAGGGCGGGUGAAUGAUGAAGGUCUUAGGAUUGUAAAAUUCUUUCACCGGGGACGAUAAUGACGGUACCCGAAGAAGAAGCCCCGGCUAACUUCGUG